UGGGGAAUUUUGGACAAUGGGCGCAAGCCUGAUCCAGCCAUGCCGCGUGCGGGAAGAAGGCCUUCGGGUUGUAAACCGCUUUUGUCAGGGAAGAAAUCUUCUGAGUUAAUACCUCGGGAGGAUGACGGUACCUGAAGAAUAAGCACCGGCUAACUACGUGCCAGCAGCCGCGGUAAUACGUAGGGUGCAAGCGUUAAUCGGAAUUACUGGGCGUAAAGCGUGCGCAGGCGGUUUUGUAAGACAGAGGUGAAAUCCCCGGGCUCAACCUGGGAACUGCCUUUGUGACUGCAAGGCUUGAGUGCGGCAGAGGGGGAUGGAAUUCCGCGUGUAGCAGUGAAAUGCGUAGAUAUGCGGAGGAACACCGAUGGCGAAGGCAAUCCCCUGGGCCUGCACUGACGCUCAUGCACGAAAGCGUGGGGAGCAAACAGGAUUAGAUACCCUGGUAGCCACGCCCUAAACGAUGUCAACUGGUUGUUGGGAAGGUUCCUUCUCAGUAACGUAGCUAACGCGUGAAGUUGACCGCCUGGGGAGUACGGCCGCAAGGUUGAAACUUAAAUGAAUUGACGGGGUCAUA
This 574-nucleotide ribosomal RNA is filed under the name uncultured bacterium. Its description in RNAcentral is "partial 16S ribosomal RNA". It matches the Rfam family "Bacterial small subunit ribosomal RNA", at positions 355 to 923 of the family's 1533-position model. The record is from RNAcentral.